This 454-nucleotide ribosomal RNA is filed under the name Anelosimus jabaquara. RNAcentral's name for it is "partial 16S ribosomal RNA". Lineage: Eukaryota; Metazoa; Arthropoda; Arachnida; Araneae; Theridiidae. The record is from RNAcentral.
ACAUUUUUUAUUAAAUUUAAAUAAAUAAAACCUGCUCAAUGAUAAUAAUUCAAUAGCCGCAAAUUUUUUAUGUGCUAAGGUAGCAUAAUCAUUUGUUUUUUAAUUAAAAACUAGAAUGAAAGGUUAUACAUUCAAAUUUCUUUAUUAAUUUUUUAUAAAUAAUUUAUAUUAAAUAUAAAAAUAUAUUUUUAAAUAAAAAAGACGACAAGACCCUAUUAAAUUUAACUUAUAGUUUAGCUGGGGAAGCUUUUUAAAUAAAAUUUUAUAUAAUUUUUAAAAAAUAUAUUUAAUAAAAUUAAAAAUAAAACAAAUUACUAUAGGGAUAACAGCGUUAUAUUUUUUAAAAGUUCUUAUUUAAAAAAAUGAUUGCGACCUCGAUGUUGAAUUAUAUUUUCUAUAUUAAUGCAAUAAUUAUAAAAGUAGAUCUGUUCGAUCUUUAAAAUAUUACAUGAUC